Molecule: Y RNA, 111 nt
Filed under: Prolemur simus (greater bamboo lemur)
Lineage: Eukaryota; Metazoa; Chordata; Mammalia; Primates; Lemuridae
Description: Y RNA (ENSPSMG00000005329.1)
Rfam family: Y RNA
About the family: Y RNAs are components of the Ro ribonucleoprotein particle (Ro RNP), in association with Ro60 and La proteins.
Source: Rfam by way of RNAcentral
GGCUGGUGGGAAGGUAGUGAGUUAUCUCAAUUGAUUGUUCAUGGUCAGUUACAGAUCGAAGUCUUUGUUCUACUCUUUCCCCUUCUCACUACUGCACUUGACUAGUCUUUA